Molecule: ribosomal RNA, 463 nt
Filed under: uncultured bacterium
Lineage: Bacteria
Description: bacterial SSU rRNA
Rfam family: Bacterial small subunit ribosomal RNA
Source: RNAcentral
CCUACGGGGGGCACCAGUGGGGAAUAUUGCACAAUGGGCGCAAGCCUGAUGCAGCCAUGCCGCGUAUGAAGAAGGCCUUCGGGUUGUAAAGUACUUUCAGCGGGGAGGAAGGCGAUAAGGUUAAUAACCUUGUCGAUUGACGUUACCCGCAGAAGAAGCACCGGCUAACUCCGUGCCAGCAGCCGCGGUAAUACGGAGGGUGCAAGCGUUAAUCGGAAUUGCUGGGCGUAAAGCGCACGCAGGCGGUCUGUCAAGUCGGAUGUGAAAUCCCCGGGCUCAACCUGGGAACUGCGUUCGAAACUGGCAGGCUGGAGUCUUGUAGAGGGGGGUAGAAUUCCAGGUGUAGCGGCGAAAUGCGUAGAGAUCUGGAGGAAUACCGGUGGCGAAGGCGGCCCCCUGGACAAAGACUGACGCUCAGGUGCGAAAGCGUGGGGAGCAAACAGGAUUAGAUACCCGUGUAGUC